Molecule: long non-coding RNA, 339 nt
Organism: Sphaeramia orbicularis (orbiculate cardinalfish)
Lineage: Eukaryota; Metazoa; Chordata; Actinopteri; Kurtiformes; Apogonidae
Exons: 3
Source: RefSeq, a predicted model, not a curated record
AAAAUGCACAUUCAGUUACAGUUGUGCUCAUAAGUUUACAUACCCUAGCAGAAUUUAUGAUUCUUUGAUUUCGUUUUUCAGAGAAUAUGAAUGAUCAUACAAAAACCUUUCUUUCAAUCGUGGCCAGGGGUUGGGUGAAGCCAUUUUAUUAUCAAACAAAUGUGUUUGCUUUUUUUAAAUUAUACUGACAACAGAAACUAUCCCAAUGACCCUGAUCCAAAGUUUACAUACCCUCGUUCUUAACCCUCUGUUUUGGCCCCUUUAACAUCAAUGACAGCUUGAAGUCUUUUAUGGUAGUUGUGGAUGAGGCACUUAAUUUUCUCAGAUAGUAAAGCUGCC